GCCCGGUUAGCUCAGCUGGUUAGAGCGUCGUACUAAUAACUGUUGAAAGACAAUUAUACAGUCAUGCGAAGGUCAACAGUUCAAUCCUGUUACUGGGCA
This is a non-coding RNA of Podospora didyma, 99 nucleotides long. Lineage: Eukaryota; Fungi; Ascomycota; Sordariomycetes; Sordariales; Podosporaceae. The record is from the annotation of a GenBank genome assembly.